Molecule: ribosomal RNA, 452 nt
Filed under: uncultured bacterium
Lineage: Bacteria
Description: bacterial SSU rRNA
Rfam family: Bacterial small subunit ribosomal RNA
Source: RNAcentral
UUCGCAAUGCCCGAAAGGGUGACGAAGCGACGCCGCGUGUGGGAAGAAGGCCUUCGGGUUGUAAACCACUGUCGGGAGUUAAGAAAUACAAGGAUAUUAAUAGUGUCUUUGUUUGACUAAGGCUCCGGAGGAAGCCACGGCUAACUCUGUGCCAGCAGCCGCGGUAAUACAGAGGCGGCAAGCGUUGUUCGGAAUUAUUGGGCGUAAAGAGCACGUAGGCGGCUAUGUAAGUCGGUUGUGAAAGCCUUCCGCUCAACGGAAGAACAGCAUCCGAUACUACAUGGCUUGAGUGCAGGAGGGGAGAGUGGAACUUCUGGUGGAGCGGUGAAAUGCGUAGAUAUCAGAAGGAACGCCGGCGGCGAAAGCGGCUCUCUGGCCCAUAACUGACGCUGAGUGUGCGAAAGCUAGGGGAGCAAACGGGAUUAGAUACCCCGGUAGUCCUAGCCGUAAAC